CUCUCCCCAUUCACUCCUUCAAGACCAUGGGGUCGCUGCUUGCUGCUGCUCCUCCUUCGCUGCUUUGGCGCUUGCGGCUCUCCACACGGAGGUGAGGUCGGCUGUCCUGCCUCCCUUAUCUUGCGCAGCAGGGAGUUCCUGUCCUCGGAUCUGCGACUACAGUUCUACCUUCUCCCCUGCUUUCCUACGCAUGGCGUGGGGUAAGGGAGGUUGCUGCGGCAGCGGCAGCGGCGAAGCUUGAAGCUAAGCUUGGGGGUCGCGGUGGAAGAAGACGGUGGCUUCGGCGAGCUUCCUGAACUCGCCUCAUUUAUCUCGGCGUUUUUGGUGCGUUGGCCUACCCAUCCUCCGGAUCUCGGCUUGGCAGUGGCACAUCUACCCAGACUGGGACCAGGUGUGGCCCUCUGAACGCCGGUGGAGGCAAGACAUGAGGUGUAGCAACGACGCGCCGGCGGCGGCGUGCACGCCCGAGAACCUGCACGGGCGCCCAGGUUUGGCUUAACGGGCCGAUCUACGCGCCCGGGCCAUUUACCAGGCGACACAUUACUCGCAGCCUAAUGACGUCUUAGACACGUAAAGACAAGUUAAUGGAGGUUUGGUGAUGGGAGUAUGAAUCUAUAAUACCUAUAAAGUUAGUCCUCAUUAAGAGUCAUUAAUUCUAUUUAUCUUAACAUGCAAGCUAUCUACAUCAUCA
Molecule: long non-coding RNA, 691 nt
Organism: Panicum virgatum (switchgrass)
Lineage: Eukaryota; Viridiplantae; Streptophyta; Magnoliopsida; Poales; Poaceae
Exons: 2
Source: RefSeq, a predicted model, not a curated record